This 1263-nucleotide ribosomal RNA is filed under the name metagenome. RNAcentral's name for it is "bacterial SSU rRNA". It matches the Rfam family "Bacterial small subunit ribosomal RNA", at positions 244 to 1498 of the family's 1533-position model. The record is from RNAcentral.
GCUAGUUGGUGGGGUAAAGGCUCACCAAGGCGACGAUCUGUAGCGGGUCUUAGAGGAUGAUCCGCCACACUGGAACUGAGACACGGUCCAGACUCCUACGGGAGGCAGCAGUGGGGAAUUUUGGACAAUGGGCGCAAGCCUGAUCCAGCCAUGCCGCGUGAGUGAAGAAGGCCUUCGGGUUGUAAAGCUCUUUCGGCCGGGAAAAAAUCGCUUGGGUUAAUACCCUGAGUGGAUGAUGGUACCGGAAUAAGAAGCACCGGCUAACUACGUGCCAGCAGCCGCGGUAAUACGUAGGGUGCGAGCGUUAAUCGGAAUUACUGGGCGUAAAGCGUGCGCAGGCGGUUUUGUAAGACAGGCGUGAAAUCCCCGGGCUCAACCUGGGAACUGCGUAUGUGACUGCAAGGCUAGAGUAUGGCAGAGGGGGGUGGAAUUCCACGUGUAGCAGUGAAAUGCGUAGAGAUGUGGAGGAACACCAAUGGCGAAGGCAGCCCCCUGGGCCAAUACUGACGCUCAUGCACGAAAGCGUGGGGAGCAAACAGGAUUAGAUACCCUGGUAGUCCACGCCCUAAACGAUGUCAACUAGGUGUUGGGUGGGUAAAACCAUUUGGUACCGUAGCUAACGCGUGAAGUUGACCGCCUGGGGAGUACGGCCGCAAGGUUAAAACUCAAAGGAAUUGACGGGGACCCGCACAAGCGGUGGAUGAUGUGGAUUAAUUCGAUGCAACGCGAAAAACCUUACCUACCCUUGACAUGCCAGGAACUUGCCAGAGAUGGCUUGGUGCCCGAAAGGGAGCCUGGACACAGGUGCUGCAUGGCUGUCGUCAGCUCGUGUCGUGAGAUGUUGGGUUAAGUCCCGCAACGAGCGCAACCCUUGUCGUUAAUUGCCAUCAUUUAGUUGGGCACUUUAACGAGACUGCCGGUGACAAACCGGAGGAAGGUGGGGAUGACGUCAAGUCCUCAUGGCCCUUAUGGGUAGGGCUUCACACGUCAUACAAUGGUCGGUACAAAGGGUUGCCAAGCCGCGAGGCGGAGCCAAUCCCAGAAAGCCGAUCGUAGUCCGGAUCGCAGGCUGCAACUCGCCUGCGUGAAGUCGGAAUCGCUAGUAAUCGUGGAUCAGCAUGUCACGGUGAAUACGUUCCCGGGUCUUGUACACACCGCCCGUCACACCAUGGGAGCGGGUUCCGCCAGAAGUAGGUAGCCUAACCGCAAGGAGGGCGCUUACCACGGCGGGGUUCGUGACUGGGGUGAAGUCGUAACAAGGUA